GUCCAGUCAAGAGUCUGGUGAUCUGAGAGAACCAUAUCAUUCCCAUAGCCUUCAACAUCAUUUUCUUCUCUCAGGGUGAUUCUUGAUUGAAAGGUUAAUUGCAUCAACGUAUAACAUAUUCCAUACGGUUGCAAAACGCAGACAGUGCUGGGAAGCCCAAGCCUACCAUCUUCAGUUCGGGAAAACCCGCAGCCUGAAGGCCCGAUAAAAGCCGGCGUAUAUUAGAACUGGUGACCUAUGGCCAACCAAUCCAUUCCAUCAGUGCCCCCAACCAAUACGCCAAAUUGGUGGUGGUUCUAGACCGUUAAACUAUAAUAGGGAAAAUCCCAAAUAUAGUCACAUGAAUUUCCUAACUAUAAAAAUGUGAAAUGAUUGUGAACAAAGAAGGAUUAUUGGCUUAUAAAACACAAUUACUUAA
This is a long non-coding RNA of Erigeron canadensis, 418 nucleotides long. RefSeq lists it as uncharacterized. The record is from RefSeq and is a predicted model, not a curated record. NCBI's taxonomy places the organism in Eukaryota, Viridiplantae, Streptophyta, Magnoliopsida, Asterales, Asteraceae. The transcript is spliced from 2 exons.